RNAcentral lists this ribosomal RNA (445 nucleotides) under uncultured bacterium. RNAcentral's name for it is "partial 16S ribosomal RNA". It matches the Rfam family "Bacterial small subunit ribosomal RNA", at positions 354 to 796 of the family's 1533-position model. The record is from RNAcentral.
GUAGGGAAUAUUGGGCAAUGGAUGCAAGUCUGACCCAGCCAUCCCGCGUGCCGGAAGAAGGCCCUCAGGGUUGUAAACGGCUUUUGACGGUGAAGAAUCGACAGGAUGCGUCCUGUUUUGACGGUAGCCGUUGAAUAAGCACCGGCUAACUCCGUGCCAGCAGCCGCGGUAAUACGGAGGGUGCGAGCGUUGUCCGGAUUUAUUGGGUUUAAAGGGUGCGUAGGCUGGAAGGUCAGUCAGCGGUGAAAAGCUGUCGCUUAACGAUAGUCUUGCCGCAGAUACUUCCUUUCUUGGAUGAGGAGGAGGCCACUGGAACGGAUGGUGUAGCGGUGAAAUGCAUAGAUAUCAUCCAGAACACCGAUUGCGAAGGCAGGUGGCUGUACCUUAAUCGACGCUGAUGCACGAAAGCAUGAGGAGCAAACAGGAUUAGAAACCCGAGUAGUCC